CGGACGGGUGAGUAAUGUCUGGGAAACUGCCUGAUGAAGGGGGAUAACUACUGGAAACGGUAGCUAAUACCGCAUAACGUCGCAAGACCAAAGAGGGGGACCUUAGGGCCUCUUGCCAUCGGAUGUGCCCAGAUGGGAUUAGCUUGUUGGUGGGGUAACGGCUCACCAAGGCGACGAUCCCUAGCUGGUCUGAGAGGAUGACCAGCCACACUGGAACUGAGACACGGUCCAG
Molecule: ribosomal RNA, 232 nt
Filed under: uncultured bacterium
Lineage: Bacteria
Description: partial 16S ribosomal RNA
Rfam family: Bacterial small subunit ribosomal RNA
Source: RNAcentral